CCUACGGGAGGCAGCAGUGGGGAAUAUUGGGCAAUGGAGGGAACUCUGACCCAGCCACGCCGCGUGAGGGAUGAAGGUUUUCGGAUUGUAAACUUCUGUCGCGCGGGAUGAAGAAUGCCGGUACCUCGUACGAAAGCCCCGGCAAACUACGUGCCAGCAGCCGCGGUAAUACGGAGGGGGCGAGCGUUGUCCGGAAUGACUGGGCGUAAAGGGAGUGUAGGGGGCAUAGUAAGUUAUGUGGUAAAGCCCGCGGCUCAAGCGCGGAAUUGCCCAUAAAACUGGUAGGCUGGAGUUCAGGAGAGGUAAGUGGAAUGCGCGGUGUAGCGGUGGAAUGCGUAGAUAUCGGGAGGAACACCAGAGGCGAAGGCGACAUACUGGACUGUAACUGACGCUGAGGCUCGAAAGCGUGGGUAGCAAACAGGAUUAGAUACCCUGGUAGUC
RNAcentral lists this ribosomal RNA (441 nucleotides) under uncultured bacterium. Its description in RNAcentral is "partial 16S ribosomal RNA". It matches the Rfam family "Bacterial small subunit ribosomal RNA", at positions 338 to 795 of the family's 1533-position model. The record is from RNAcentral.